GACGAACGCUGGCGGCGUGCUUAACACAUGCAAGUCGAACGGUGAAGGGGUCUGCUUUUGUGGGCCCUGGAUGAGUGGCGAACGGGUGAGUAACACGUGAGUAACCUGCCCCCUUCUUCUGGAUAACCGCAUGAAAGUGUGGCUAAUACGGGAUAUUCUGGGUCUGUCGCAUGAUGGGUCUGGGAAAGAUUGCGCCUUUGGGUGUUUUUGGUGGGGGAUGGGCUCGCGGCCUAUCAGCUUGUUGGUGGGGUGAUGGCCUACCAAGGCGGUGACGGGUAGCCGGCCUGAGAGGGUGGACGGUCACACUGGGACUGAGACACGGCCCAGACUCCUACGGGAGGCAGCAGUGGGGAAUAUUGCACAAUGGGCGCAAACCUGAUGCAGCGACGCCGCGUGAGGGAUGGAGGCCUUCGGGUUGUAAACCUCUUUCGCCAGUGAAGCAGGCCUGCUCCUUGUGGGUGGGUUGACGGUAGCUGGAUAAGAAGCGCCGGCUAACUACGUG
RNAcentral lists this ribosomal RNA (502 nucleotides) under uncultured bacterium. RNAcentral describes it as "partial 16S ribosomal RNA". It matches the Rfam family "Bacterial small subunit ribosomal RNA", at positions 28 to 507 of the family's 1533-position model. The record is from RNAcentral.